UGGAAAGCGAAGGUACCACUUAAAGUCAAAAUAUUCAUGUGGUAUCUCCGUAGGAGAGUUGUGCUAACAAAAGACAACCUCACACGACACAACUGGUCGGGAAGUAAGAAGUGUUGUUUUUGUACUCAUGACGAGACAAUCAAACACCUCUUUUUGCAAUGUAAGUUUGCACGUUCUACGUGGUCAGCCAUCCAAAUAGCGUCAAAUUUGUCGCCCACAAGUGUUGCCAAUAUUUUUGGUCAUUGGCUGGACGACAUUUCAAAUAGGUACAAAACGCUAAUAAGGGUGGGUGCGUAUGCCUUAUUAUGGUCGCUUUGGCUAUGUAGAAAUGAUGUUGUUUUUAAUGACAAAAAUGCUUCUCCUUUGCAGGUUAUUUUCCAUUGUACGCACUCGCUUCAUACAUGGUGUACGCUAGAACAAGCGGAGUACCAACCGUUGUUCAAGGCGGGUGUACGUUGUUGGAGCAGGUGGCUACGGAGGGUUUUUACCCAACAUGGGUGGCAGCAUAAUCUCCGGAUCGGUCCACCAUCUAUUUCGACAUAG
Molecule: ribosomal RNA, 543 nt
Filed under: Triticum aestivum (bread wheat)
Lineage: Eukaryota; Viridiplantae; Streptophyta; Magnoliopsida; Poales; Poaceae
Description: partial small subunit ribosomal RNA
Source: RNAcentral